GAGACGGGGAGAAAAGAUUCGAAGGGGGGGGCGGCAGCAGAGGGGGCGAGAGGUAGGAGGGAGAGAGGAAGGAGGAAGGAUUGAUCCGCGUCUGUUAAAGUCUUGUUCUGUUUUUUUCUUUAGAGCUUUUAGGUUUGAGCCGAAGCGCGUCUCGAGCGCAGCUCCCAAACUCCUGAAGCAGCUUUGUCCAGACGGAAGCUAACCUUGCAAUUUAAUUUUUUUUGCAAAGUGAAGAUCUACUUUACAGCAGCAAUCUGAUCCAAACGGCUCCAUUGUGGGCUAUUCUGCGUGCUUUCAUUGGGACUGAGUGUUGCUCGAGCAGCCCGCUGUUGAACACAAGGAGCGACUGACUGCAGGUCCCGGGCCGAUCUGUCACUGUGAUUAGGUAAACACGCCGGAUGGGAAGGCUCCAACUUUUGAUUGUGUGGAAGUAUAGCCUCCUUUAGUCCCGUGCACCGCGUCGCCCCUCCCGUCCCACCCACCCUCCCAGAACUGAGGAGCUGGGGAGUUUUCUCGGGUGAUUCUUCAACUUUAAAAAAGCUAGAAAACAAAUAAAAAUCUCGGAUUGCAAUUUUCUCUCCUCCCCCCACCACCUAGGAAGGUUUUGGGAGGUGAUGUCAUCGCGCGGUGGUUCGCCUGGUAUUGUGACCCGGGGGCGCGCGGAGCCCCGCUGCAGCCGGCCGACCCGCGGUUAGGAGGAGUGCGGGAAAUCAGCUGGACCUGGCGCUCACACCGCCAUCAUCACUAUCACCACCCUCUCUGUCGGACAUUUAUCGGUCUCUUCCUACCCACCAACACCUCCUCCACCGAUCACCGACCACCGCCAGCUGAAGGGGUCGUAGCCAUGACCGAGGCUAAUACCCUGCAGCACGCGGCGCGCGCCGACCCCCCGUCUCCAGGUCACCGAUCCUUCCGGCUGCCAGUGCAACAGCAGAUCGCGACCCCGCCUCGCGGUGGGCACUAGAACCCCGCUGUGCGACCCUCUCCACACCAGAUCGGACUAUUAACACACGCCAACGCACCCUCUUGUUGCGCUGCAAGUAACAUCUCACUCACGGAGACGAUCCGGCUACGUUUUGUUUUAUUGCAACGGAACACAUCCUGACUUGGAAUAUUCUAAACUUUACACCAGGGGACCGAACUGAGAGAACGCAAGAGAGGUGGGGGCCAACAAGUAAAGUUGUCAGUCUGUCAGUGUCGCUCGUGGUCGCGCUUUCACCUGUUCAUCGUUUCGCCGGCGGCGCGCAUGCAGCAGCCGAACCGAUGCCCUAACCUUUUCCCCCUGGGCCCCGCCCCUUAUUUUUUCUCGCGGGCCGGACAGCUGUGAGAGGUUGCCCUGCGGUCACAGUGACAUUCACCCCGCCUGACACCUCGCCCCUCGCCGUCCGCCGUUCGACCGCUCCGCCUGGGGACGCCGAGGCACCGCCGAUGCCAACAGCGGUAGCCGUUGACUCAUUGACUCUGCACACCGUCCAGCGGAUUCACUACACGCACGGGAACCCUCCGGUGCGCCGGGCUGGCUCGGACGGAGCGCCGCGGAGACUGACUCCGGGCCGAGGUCCUUAGUGGAUGGGGGAAGCGAUGUGGUCCCUGCUCCCCAUGCUGGCUGUCUUGUAAGUCACUCUCACACAAUCCAUUUCACUUUUUUAUAGGAAAUUGUAUCUUAACUUCUCUCUUUACCUUUCGUUCUUUGGGAUGAUGGUUGGGUGUCAGGUGUGUGUGUGUGUGUGUGUGUGUGUGUGUGUGUGUGUGUGUGUGUGUGUGUGUGUGUGUGUGUGUGUGUGUGUGUGUGUGUGUGUGUGUGUGUGUGUGUGU
Molecule: long non-coding RNA, 1815 nt
Organism: Gadus macrocephalus (Pacific cod)
Lineage: Eukaryota; Metazoa; Chordata; Actinopteri; Gadiformes; Gadidae
Exons: 2
Source: RefSeq, a predicted model, not a curated record